This 401-nucleotide ribosomal RNA is filed under the name uncultured cyanobacterium. RNAcentral's name for it is "bacterial SSU rRNA". It matches the Rfam family "Bacterial small subunit ribosomal RNA", at positions 1049 to 1451 of the family's 1533-position model. The record is from RNAcentral. Lineage: Bacteria; Bacillati; Cyanobacteriota.
CUGUCGUCAGCUCGUGUCGUGAGAUGUUGGGUUAAGUCCCGCAACGAGCGCAACCCACGUCUUUAGUUGCCAGCAUUCAGUUGGGCACUCUAGAGAGACCGCCGGUGAUAAACCGGAGGAAGGUGUGGAUGACGUCAAGUCAUCAUGCCCCUUACAUCCUGGGCUACACACGUACUACAAUGCUACGGACAAAGGGCAGCAAAAUCGCGAGAGCUAGCAAAUCCCAUAAACCGUGGCUCAGUUCAGAUCGUAGGCUGCAACUCGCCUACGUGAAGGAGGAAUCGCUAGUAAUCGCAGGUCAGCAUACUGCGGUGAAUACGUUCCCGGGCCUUGUACACACCGCCCGUCACACCAUGGAAGUUGGCCACGCCCGAAGCCGUUACUCCAACCUUGUGGAGGAG